Rhincodon typus (whale shark) is the source of this 1076-nucleotide long non-coding RNA. RefSeq lists it as uncharacterized. Lineage: Eukaryota; Metazoa; Chordata; Chondrichthyes; Orectolobiformes; Rhincodontidae. The record is from RefSeq and is a predicted model, not a curated record. The transcript is spliced from 4 exons.
CAUGCGCGCAGUGCAGUUUCGCUGUGACCGAGGUUUGUGCAAUUGAGAUACCAGCGAUCAUUGCCAAAGCCCUGUUGCCUGUGGAAAAGGAUAUUACAAGUGGACUUUCAGGUGGGAAUCUCAAUAAUUGUAACACCAAACUCUGACAGAAUUACUCAAUUCAUCAGGACCUGGAUAUUCGCAUUGUGUAGCUUGGAAAUAGUCAUAUUGUCACCAUACAUCGACACAGUCACACUGACUAAAGACUGUCCACCUGCACAGUAUGUGAAAAGGGAUUUCCUGGUUCAUCAGGACUGGUUAACUACCAGCAAAUUUCUGAGUAAGUGUUAAUUGAGUUUUAAUUCUGCUGUUAGCUAUAUCCAAACCAUGUUUUUUCGGCUUGUUUCUGGAGAUCAUAGAAUCCCUCCAAUGUGAAAGCAGACCAUUUGGCCCAUCACGAAGAGUGUCCUACCCAGUCUCAGUAACACUGCAUUUAACAUGGCUAAUCCACAUAGUCUGCACAUACCCGGGCACUAUGGGCAAUUUAGCACAGCCAAUCCACCCUAACCUGCACAGCUUUAGACUGGCAGGAAACCAGAGCACCUGGAGGAAACCUGCACAGACACAGAGACUGUGCGAACUGCAUUUAGACAGCAGCCUGAGGCUAGAAUCAAAUGCAGAAAUAGAAACAGUAAACAUCCAUUCAGCCCUUUGACCUUGUUCCUCCUGUCAUCUACGUCAGUUCUACCUUCUCAAAUUAUCCCCAUUUCCCUCAUUGCUGAUGUACAAAAAUCUAACACUGCCUGAUUUGGAAACCCGCGAUGACCAAGGAUCUACAGCUCCCUGGAAUAGAGAAUUCCACAGAUUUACAGUGAUGUGAGUGAAGAAAUUGCUCCUCACCUCAAUCUGAAAUGGUCACACCCUUAUUCUGAGACAAUUACCCCAUGUCCGAGAUUUCCCAGCCAGAGGAAACAUUUACUCAGCAUUGUUCCUAUCAAGCAUCUUCCAAAAAAAAAGAUAAUUCAAUGAGAUCACUUCUAUUUCUCUAUAUCCUACAGGUUGGUCAUCAGUUAGUUCAGUUGGCUGGACGGCUGAUU